UGGGGAAUAUUGCACAAUGGGGGAAACCCUGAUGCAGCGACGCCGCGUGAACGAAGAAGGUAUUCGUAUCGUAAAGUUCUGUCCUAUGGGAAGAUAAUGACAGUACCAUAGAAGAAAGCUCCGGCUAAAUACGUGCCAGCAGCCGCGGUAAUACGUAUGGAGCGAGCGUUGUCCGGAAUUAUUGGGCGUAAAGGGUACGCAGGCGGUUUAAUAAGUCGAAUGUUAAAGAUCGGGGCUCAACCCCGUAAAGCAUUGGAAACUGAUAAACUUGAGUAGUGGAGAGGAAAGUGGAAUUCCUAGUGUAAUGGUGAAAUGCGUAGAUAUAUGGAGGAACACCGGUGGCGAAAGCGGCUCUCUGGUCUGUAACUGACGCUGAGGCUCGAAAGCGUGGGGAGCGAACAGG
This 403-nucleotide ribosomal RNA is filed under the name Bacteroidota bacterium. RNAcentral's name for it is "Bacteroidetes bacterium partial 16S ribosomal RNA". It matches the Rfam family "Bacterial small subunit ribosomal RNA", at positions 355 to 776 of the family's 1533-position model. Lineage: Bacteria; Pseudomonadati; Bacteroidota. The record is from RNAcentral.